CGCCCGGUGCACGAAGAGGGUGGGGUUGACGGGGUUCCGGUGCCGGUGCGGCGAGCUGUUCUGCGGGGAGCACCGGUACUCGGACCGGCACGCGUGCGUCUUCGACUACAAGACCGCCGGGAGGGAGGCCAUCGCACGGGAGAAUCCGCUGGUCAGGGCGUCCAAAAUCAUUAAGAUCUGAUCUCGGUUUCGAGGGGACCGUCUAAUUUGGAGCUUAAAUUCGGGACUUGGGAGUAAAACGAAAAGGAGAAGAUACAUAUAUUUUUGUUGGAAUUUGGAAAGAGAGAAAAAAAAAAAUAAUAGUAGUUUUUUACACACAAGAAGAAGAGGAAAAAAAACAAAAAAAACGAGAAAAGGUGCUUCAUUAGCGUUAUUGUGCUUGUGGACUCUUCUCUGGUAUCUAUCGAGAUGUCUAAAAUUUUAUAAUAUUCAGAAAUUUUGUGAUUCAAGUAGAAGAGAAAUAACGCGGUGGAGAUAUUUCGUUUGGUAGUCUGAAAGUUUUAGUUGUUUCUGUGCUACAAUAUUAAAUGAAAAGAAUUCGUCCGAAGGUCAAAGAAUCAGAACAAUACCAGCAAAAGUAAAAGAGGUUUAUAAUGGCGCACGCACCUUAAGAGGGCCCUCUGCAGUGCUCAUGAUGAGUCAUUCACAUAUAUAAUUUUUUUUUUCUUUUUUCUCUUUUACAGCAUUCUGUGAGGGAGAGAGAGAGAGAGAGAGAGAGUGCGGAAAAGAUAUCAAUCUAUCAACUUUUUUUUGUUCAAAUAAAUUUAGUUAAAAUAUAAAAUAAUUAAUAAUUAAAUUUUUAAUUUGAAAUCUUGAGUAUUAACUACCAGAUUUUUUACCAAUUGCUUUAGAUAGGAACAGUCUCUGUUGCACUGUUUUAGCUGCAGCUGUAGGGUAUAUCUCUAUACAUUGACAAUUAUUAUUUGUUUUGUAUAUUCUUAAGCAGUCCGGCAUACCAGUUGCUCAUCAUUAAUAUAUAGCACACUAAUUAUGUUAAAGUUAGAGAACACAUAAAUGAUGAAGAAUGCAUCAAUAGAUACUGGCUAGCUUAGUCCAUCAUGCCAGCUGACUACCACAAGAAGUUCCGG
Molecule: long non-coding RNA, 1088 nt
Filed under: Ananas comosus (pineapple)
Lineage: Eukaryota; Viridiplantae; Streptophyta; Magnoliopsida; Poales; Bromeliaceae
Description: long non-coding RNA (ACOM_LNC011160)
Source: RNAcentral